UGCCGAGGGUUUGACUGUUCGUCAAAUAAAAUGGUACGUGAGCUGGGUUCAGAACGUCGUGAGACAGUUUGGUCCCUAUCUACUGUACGAAAUAAAAAAGAAAACUAUAAUGAUCUCAGUACGAGAGGACCGGAGACGAUAGGCCAAGUGUAAACAAUUAUAGUAUAAGUGUAAGUUGUAAAGCUCCGCCUAACUAAAGAACCAUAAUAAAUGGGAAUAGAGUAGUUUUUUUUUUUAAUAAACAGAAAAAAGAAUCUUUUGUUUAAAUUAAUAUCUUAUAAAACUAGUAAUAGUUUAAUAGAGAUAUCAUAAAAAAUUGUUUAAUUUAGCUGAU
Molecule: ribosomal RNA, 334 nt
Filed under: Candidatus Riesia sp.
Lineage: Bacteria; Pseudomonadati; Pseudomonadota; Gammaproteobacteria; Enterobacterales; Enterobacteriaceae
Description: partial 23S ribosomal RNA
Rfam family: Bacterial large subunit ribosomal RNA
Source: RNAcentral